Molecule: long non-coding RNA, 717 nt
Filed under: Mus pahari (shrew mouse)
Lineage: Eukaryota; Metazoa; Chordata; Mammalia; Rodentia; Muridae
Description: lncRNA (MGP_PahariEiJ_G0004129.1)
Source: RNAcentral
AUGUAUUACCUGAAAGCAGAGAGCAGUUGUUGCAUUGGAUCAUUCAGAGAGUAUGCAGCCACAACCAUGCCUUAGAUGUGUGUAAUUCAAGUGGAGAAGACACAAGCCAGUGGUUGCAAUAUCAUCAACACUUGAGUGUUCUGUAAUCGAUUAAUGUUUGCCAUGUGCAAGGAAAAGGCAGAGGCAAAAUGGCGUCGGCUUAUGGAAAAAUAAUUUACAAAAAAAAUGAUGGGAUAGUUCUGCCAAAUUUGAGAUUGGUGUCAGCAGAAAACCAACAACGAUGUGGUGGCACACAGUGAACUGACCAGACCCAGGCAGCAGUGGCUCUUUUGGUGGCAAUGGUGCCAAGUCACAGGUACUCUCCUUGCUAAUGGCAGAUACCAACAGGCAGACUAUUGCCUGCGUUUAGCUCUGUUAACCAUUGACAGUGAGAUUUAUCAGAGGUUGCAGCCGCACAUGGCCAUGAGGUAAACCCUGCCCCGGGUGGAAUUGAGUUUCAUUAGCUUCUACAUGGGAUUGUAAGGACUUGGAACAUAUCACCAACCCAGCAGGGUUCCCCCACCCUCCUGUUUUUAAAGAUUCAUUUUUCUUCCUAAAGGUAACAUGCUUGAACAAAGUUCUUUAUGGUUAGUAACUGUGAUGCUUGAAGUUGGUUAUCCCUUAUUCUAGUAAAUUUUAAAUGUCAAAGAUAUCUUGUUAAAUAAAAAAUAAAGUAUC